AACGCAUCUUGCGCUCCUUGGUAUUCCGAGGAGCAUGCCUGUUUGAGUGUCAUUAAAUUCUCAACUUUCCUUUGAUUUCUUCAAGGGAGAGCUUGGAUUGUGGAGGUUCUGCUGGCUGCAAAGUCGGCUCCUCUGAAAUGCAUUGGCAAAGGCGUGUGCAUGAAAAUGGCCUUUCGGUGUGAUAAUGAUCACCGUGGCUGGAUUGCUCUGAAUGCCUGUGCCUAUCCUUCUCUCCAUUCACUUGGAAAGAAAACCCACUUGACAUUUUGACCUCAAAUCAGGUAGGAUUACCCGCUGAACUUAA
This 304-nucleotide unclassified non-coding RNA is filed under the name uncultured fungus. Its description in RNAcentral is "partial contains 5.8S ribosomal RNA, internal transcribed spacer 2, and large subunit ribosomal RNA". The stretch from base 1 to 52 matches the Rfam family "5.8S ribosomal RNA", at positions 103 to 154 of the family's 154-position model. The record is from RNAcentral. Lineage: Eukaryota; Fungi.